UGCUAUCGGGGUUCGAUUAAGCCAUGCGAGUCGAGAGGUGCAAGACCUCGGCGCACUGCUCAGUAACACGUGGACAAUCUACCCUGAGGAGGGGGAUAACCCCGGAAAACUGGGGAUAAUACCCCAUAGAUUAGGGAGGCUGGAAUGCCCCCUAGUUCAAAGGUCCGCCGCCUCAGGAUGGGUCUGCGGCCGAUUAGGUUGUUGUUGGGGUAACGGCCCAACAAGCCUUUGAUCGGUACGGGUUGUGGGAGCAAGAGCCCGGAGAUGGAUUCUGAGACACGAAUCCAGGCCCUACGGGGCGCAGCAGGCGCGAAAACUUUACAAUGCGAGAAAUCGUGAUAAGGGAACCCCGAGUGCCCGUAAAUUCGGGCUGUCCAUCAGUGCAAAAAACUGGUGAAGAAAGAGCCGGGCAAGACCGGUGCCAGCCGCCGCGGUAAUACCGGCGGCUCGAGUGGUGGCCACUAUUACUGGGCUUAAAGCGUCCGUAGCUUGGUUGUUAA
RNAcentral lists this ribosomal RNA (500 nucleotides) under uncultured archaeon. RNAcentral describes it as "bacterial SSU rRNA". It matches the Rfam family "Archaeal small subunit ribosomal RNA", at positions 28 to 536 of the family's 1478-position model. The record is from RNAcentral.